Molecule: long non-coding RNA, 1019 nt
Organism: Macadamia integrifolia
Lineage: Eukaryota; Viridiplantae; Streptophyta; Magnoliopsida; Proteales; Proteaceae
Exons: 2
Source: RefSeq, a predicted model, not a curated record
AUGAUGCUGAGCUAAGAUCAUUCAUCAAUCAUAUGGUUGAGAAUGUAAGAAAAGGUUUGAAGACCAACUCAACGUUCACAAAGAUUGGAUGGGAGAAUAUUUCAAAAGGAUUAGAGGCUAAAUUCCCUUUGGGAAGGAGCAACUUCGUAAUAAGAUGAACAAAUUACGGAAGGAGUAUAACAAUUUCAAGCGGUUGUUGCAAACAACUAGAUUUGGAUGGGAUGCAAAUGCUCGGACUGCUACAACAGAGGAUUCUGUAUGGGAAUAAGCUAUUUAGGGAAACAAAGAGUGGGCAAAGUAUAGAAGAGAUGGUCUUCCUUGGUGGCCAGAGUUGUUAGAGAUCUUCUCCAACUCAACUGCCCGUGGGAAUAGAGGGCUUUCCCAGUCUACUGCUAUUACUCCUACGUCUACUAACCUUGCUAAUGAUGAUGAAGAUUUUCAAGAGAUUGAUCUUGAUGAUAGUGAAAGUUAUAGCGGCACACCCAAAAGAUCUACUCCUUCCAAGAGGCAACUUGAUAGGAUUUCAAUGGAUCAUAGGAGGAAGAGCCAGACAAGGGUAAUCAUGAACUCCUCUUAGGACUUCAAAGAAUUUGUAAGAUGGAAGAUGGAAAAGGGAAACUCCUCUGCAACUUCAGUCGUAGUCCGACUUCCUGAUCCUAUGUAUGAUGGGCCACAUAGUAUGAUGAACUGCUAGAAGCUAUUGGAUACUUUGGAAGAUAUUCCAUCAGAGUUGUAUGUCUUGGCUAAGAAGAAGAUACAUAGUGAUCCUGAUUGACUCAUGUCUUUCUUGGAAGUCUGCCCGGAUAGGAGGUUAUGGAUGAUACGGCAUUUGAAGGAGUUGUCCUGAAGUGGAGCAGUUGGUUUUGGUGAAUGCUUUUCCAGACAAAUGGACUAGUUUUGGGGGGAUUGUUUUAUGACUCUUGACUACUUACAUACUUUACUAAUGGUUUAUAAUGUUGAUACUUGACUUUUGUUGCAUGUUGUUAAUUUUUUUGAUAUUGCAUGGUGCUCUAUGUUCU